GGAUGUGAGGGCGAUCUGGCUGCGACAUCUGUCACCCCACUGAUCACCAGGGUUGAUUCGGCUGAUCUGGCUGGCUAGACGGGUGUCCCCUUCCUCCCUCACCGCUCCAUGUGCGUCCCUCCCGAAGCUGCGCGCUCGGUGGAAGAGGACGACCAUCCCAGAUAGACGGAGUGUACCGUUCUUCGGUCAAGGGUAUACGAUAGCUGCGCUCCCCUGCUAGAACCUCCAGACAAGCUCAUAGGCUGCCUUAUUCAUUGUUCCAUAGGCUGCUGCUUCUUCCUCUUCAGACUUUCUGUUCUACAUAUUGCUGAAGUGCGAA
Podarcis lilfordi (Lilford's wall lizard) is the source of this 319-nucleotide non-coding RNA. Lineage: Eukaryota; Metazoa; Chordata; Lepidosauria; Squamata; Lacertidae. The record is from the annotation of a GenBank genome assembly.